UGGACAGAUUAUUGUAUUCGACUGUGUCACGGCGUGAAAUAGGGGAUUACACUAUUUUUAAAACGGAAAGUGAAUCAAUUAACAUAAUAGACUCCU
Molecule: microRNA precursor, 96 nt
Filed under: Nicotiana attenuata
Lineage: Eukaryota; Viridiplantae; Streptophyta; Magnoliopsida; Solanales; Solanaceae
Description: MIR6152 microRNA precursor family
Rfam family: MIR6152 microRNA precursor family
Source: Rfam by way of RNAcentral